UCCGGUUUAGACCGGCGGUCUCCUUAGAGAAUUCAACUAAGGACAAGGGUUGCGCUCGUUGCGGGACUUAACCCAACACCUCACGGCACGAGCUGACGACAACCAUGCACCACCUGUCACUCUGUCCCCCGAAGGGGAAAGUCCUAUCUCUAGGAUUGUCAGAGGAUGUCAAGACCUGGUAAGGUUCUUCGCGUUGCUUCGAAUUAAACCACAUGCUCCACCGCUUGUGCGGGUCCCCGUCAAUUUCUUUGAGUUUUAAUCUUGCGACCGUACUUCCCAGGCGGCGUAUUUAACGCGUUGGCUACGCCACAAAAGGGGUCGAUUCCUUUUACAGCAAAUACGCACCGUUUACGGCGUGGACUAC
This 364-nucleotide unclassified non-coding RNA is filed under the name uncultured bacterium. RNAcentral's name for it is "contains 16S-23S intergenic spacer region". The record is from RNAcentral.